AAUAUUGGCCAAUGGGCGAAAGCCUGAUCCAGCCACGCCGCGUGUGUGAAUAAGGUCUACGGAUUGUAAAGCACUUUAAGUUGGGAGGAAGGGGUUGAAGCUAAUACAUUCAAUCUUUGACGUUACCAACAGAAUAAGUACCGGCUAACUUCGUGCCAGCAGCUGCGGUAAUACGAAGGGUGCAAGCGUUAAUCGGAAUUACUGGGCGUAAAGCGCGCGUAGGUGGUUCGUUAAGUUGGAAGUGAAAGCCCCGGGCUCAACCUGGGAACUGCUUUCAAAACUGGCAAGCUAGAGUAUGGCAGAGGGUGGUGGAAGUUCCUGUGUAGCGGUGAAAUGCGUAGAUAUAGGAAGGAACACCAGUGGCGAAGGCGACCACCUGGGCUAAUACUGACACUGAGGUGCGAAAGCGUGGGGAGCAAACAGG
Molecule: ribosomal RNA, 424 nt
Filed under: uncultured bacterium
Lineage: Bacteria
Description: partial 16S ribosomal RNA
Rfam family: Bacterial small subunit ribosomal RNA
Source: RNAcentral